GAGACCAUAAUUUCAGGGAUCAUUUCUAUAGUUUAUUACUGGAGAAGUUUCUUUGAACGUAUAGAGUACUAAAAACCAUGUUAUCUCCUGACUGUAAAGCUGCCUCUUGGUAUUGCUUUACUUCAAUUGCCAUUUGUCACUAAUGAUUGUUUUUUCUUUUCUUUUGGGAGAGUAAUGGGGAGAGGACACAGUCUGGGU
RNAcentral lists this small nucleolar RNA (198 nucleotides) under Saimiri boliviensis boliviensis (Bolivian squirrel monkey). RNAcentral describes it as "Small nucleolar RNA U3 (ENSSBOG00000002036.1)". It matches the Rfam family "Small nucleolar RNA U3". From Rfam's summary of the family: Small nucleolar RNAs (snoRNAs) are involved in the processing and modification of rRNA in the nucleolus. The record is from Rfam by way of RNAcentral. Lineage: Eukaryota; Metazoa; Chordata; Mammalia; Primates; Cebidae.